GAUGAACGCUAGCUACAGGCUUAACACAUGCAAGUCGAGGGGAAACGACAUCGAAAGCUUGCUUUUGAUGGGCGUCGACCGGCGCACGGGUGAGUAACGCGUAUCCAACCUGCCCACCACUUGGGGAUAACCUUGCGAAAGUAAGACUAAUACCCAAUGACGUCUCUAGAAGACAUCUGAAAGAGAUUAAAGAUUUAUCGGUGAUGGAUGGGGAUGCGUCUGAUUAGCUUGUUGGCGGGGUAACGGCCCAACAAGGCGACGAUCAGUAGGGGUUCAGAGAGGAAGGUCCCACACAUUGGAACUGAGACACGGUCCAAACUCCUACGGGAGGCAGCAGUGGGGAAUAUUGGUCAAUGGGCGAGAGCCUGAACCAGCCAAGUAGCGUGCAGGAUGACGGCCCUAUGGGUUGUAAACUGCUUUUAUAAGGGAAUAAAGUGAGUCUCGUGAGACUUUUUGCAUGUACCUUAUGAAUAAGGACCGGCUAAUUCCGUGCCAGCAGCCGCCGUAA
This 508-nucleotide ribosomal RNA is filed under the name uncultured bacterium. RNAcentral's name for it is "partial 16S ribosomal RNA". It matches the Rfam family "Bacterial small subunit ribosomal RNA", at positions 28 to 523 of the family's 1533-position model. The record is from RNAcentral.